CAAUACUUUUCUAUGAAAUUCUCUCUUCUCACCGUCCCGAUCUAGGGUUGCUUGGGUGGCCGCCGGGCCGCCUCCCGGCACGGCGGCAACGCCCAUCUAAGAACCUCAUUUUCCAAUACUUUUCUAUGUUCUUUGUUCCUUCCUUUUCAUGUCUUCAUCUAUUCUCUGCUUCGUCCGACAUGGUUCCGUUCUAACUACCUUGGCGUUCACGUCCUCACUCCCCUGGCUUCUUUUCUGACGCCCCUUGGUGAACACAGGCUUCUCCACCUCCUCGUUGCCGCUCCCUACUAUGCUUGUUGUGCUCCGUUUUCGUUCUUGCUGAUGUCGGUUUGCCUUGCCUUCCGAUGCACCGCCGAGGCUUCUCCUAGUUCCUGUCGUCGUCGUAGCUCGCCUUUGCUUCAUGGUUGCUGCGGAUCUUGUAUUUCUGGGGUUUGGUGUUGCAGGGUUUUGGGCUUUGAUCUGAAGAUCUCACUUUCCGGAUUUUAUCAGUGGAUACCCCUUCUGCGUGAAAGAUUUUUUUAUCAAUCAGCGUGCGUUGCUGGAGCCUUGGAUCCAUAUCAAUCUUUAAGACAAGGCUCGUUCUAAGUGGUUUUCUUGAGGCUCCAAUCUUUAAGACAAGGCUCGUGCAUAUGCUAAAUGGAAAAAGUUGUUGAGACUUAACACAUAUGUAUAUAUAGGCUUGAUCAGCUUAUAUGUGCUUGGCAAUUGUAUAUGGAACAAUUUGGUGGUGUAAUUUGUAUUGGAUCAUGGUGCUUAUGUUGAUGGAUUGAUGUGUCUUCACGGCUGAUGAGCAUGUGGAUUGAGGUUGUCAGUGGUGGCUGAUGUUGGCGUCUCUUCGUUUUGACCAUCUUUGGAUGGGUUCGAGUCUUUUGCAAGAGUGGUGCUUCUUGGAGUGGAGUAUGAGUUCGAUCAUCUUCUUGGGUUAAGCCAAGGAAACGUUGUCGCGGAGGUGGUCUGGUUGUCAGGUACUGGAGGUAGAGAUGUGGCUCAUGAGGAGUAGCUUCGGAGAGUCUUAGCUUAUGUUCUUAUUAUUAUUAUUAUUAUUAUUAUUAUUAUUAUUAUUAUUAUUAUUAUAAAAUAAGUGUCUUGCUCUGUAAUGUAACACUGGGUAGAUAUUUUACGUUACUUUUACACUUCUGUUGAGAGGAUUUUAUAACCUCUCCUUAUGGAAGUUGUUGAAUAAUUUUCUAAAUUAUGGCGAUGUCGUACUGUUGAUGGUCGAAGUGCCUAUGAAAUUCAGUUUUGAGUA
Lotus japonicus is the source of this 1249-nucleotide long non-coding RNA. RefSeq lists it as uncharacterized. The transcript is spliced from 2 exons. Lineage: Eukaryota; Viridiplantae; Streptophyta; Magnoliopsida; Fabales; Fabaceae. The record is from RefSeq and is a predicted model, not a curated record.